RNAcentral lists this transfer RNA (73 nucleotides) under Buchnera aphidicola (Anoecia oenotherae). It matches the Rfam family "tRNA". Rfam says of the family: Transfer RNA (tRNA) molecules are approximately 80 nucleotides in length. Their secondary structure includes four short double-helical elements and three loops (D, anti-codon, and T loops). Further hydrogen bonds mediate the characteristic L-shaped molecular structure. tRNAs have two regions of fundamental functional importance: the anti-codon, which is responsible for specific mRNA codon recognition, and the 3' end, to which the tRNAs corresponding amino acid is attached (by aminoacyl-tRNA synthetases). tRNAs cope with the degeneracy of the genetic code in two manners: having more than one tRNA (with a specific anti-codon) for a particular amino acid; and 'wobble' base-pairing, i.e. permitting non-standard base-pairing at the 3rd anti-codon position. RNAcentral also lists the same sequence under 2 other names. The record is from Rfam by way of RNAcentral. Lineage: Bacteria; Pseudomonadati; Pseudomonadota; Gammaproteobacteria; Enterobacterales; Erwiniaceae.
AGGGAUGUAGUUCAAUUGGUAGAGCAUCGGUCUCCAAAACCGAAAGUUGUGGGUUCAAGUCCCUCCAUCCCUG